RNAcentral lists this ribosomal RNA (496 nucleotides) under uncultured bacterium. RNAcentral's name for it is "bacterial SSU rRNA". It matches the Rfam family "Bacterial small subunit ribosomal RNA", at positions 28 to 533 of the family's 1533-position model. The record is from RNAcentral.
GACGAACGCUGGCGGCGUGCCUAACACAUGCAAGUCGAGCGGAGGUACAAUGAGAGCAAUCGAGAUGUACUUUAGCGGCGGACGGGUGAGUAACGCGUGAGCAACCUGCCUAUCACAGGGGGAUAAGGCGGCGAAAGCCGCUCUAAUACCGCAUGAGACCCUCAAAGCGAUGCAAUGGGGGUGAAAGGAGCGAUCCGGUGAGAGAUGGGCUCGCGUCCGAUUAGGUAGUUGGUAGGUAAGGGCCUACCAAGCCAAUGAUCGGUAGCCGGCCUGAGAGGGUGAACGGCCACAUUGGAACUGAGAGACGGUCCAAACUCCUACGGGAGGCAGCAGUGGGGAAUAUUGGGCAAUGGGCGGAAGCCUGACCCAGCAACGCCGCGUGAGGGAAGAAGGUUUUCGGAUUGUAAACCUCUGUUCUUGGGGAAGAGGAGGAGACGGUACCCCAAGGAGGAAGCCCCGGCUAACUACGUGCCAGCAGCCGCGGUAAACGUGCGUG